This 253-nucleotide ribosomal RNA is filed under the name uncultured bacterium. Its description in RNAcentral is "partial 16S ribosomal RNA". It matches the Rfam family "Bacterial small subunit ribosomal RNA", at positions 524 to 776 of the family's 1533-position model. The record is from RNAcentral.
UACGUAGGGUGCAGGCGUUAAUCGGAAUUACUGGGCGUAAAGCGUGCGCAGGCGGUUAUAUAAGACAGAUGUGAAAUCCCCGGGCUCAACCUGGGACCUGCAUUUGUGACUGUAUAGCUAGAGUACGGUAGAGGGGGAUGGAAUUCCGCGUGUAGCAGUGAAAUGCGUAGAUAUGCGGAGGAACACCGAUGGCGAAGGCAAUCCCCUGGACCUGUACUGACGCUCAUGCACGAAAGCGUGGGGAGCAAACAGG